This 300-nucleotide unclassified non-coding RNA is filed under the name uncultured fungus. Its description in RNAcentral is "sequence contains 5.8S rRNA gene, ITS2". The stretch from base 1 to 71 matches the Rfam family "5.8S ribosomal RNA", at positions 84 to 154 of the family's 154-position model. Lineage: Eukaryota; Fungi. The record is from RNAcentral.
GUGAGUCAUCGAAUCUUUGAACGCACAUUGCGCUCUCUGGUAUUCCGGGGAGCAUGCCUGUUUGAGUAUCAGUAAAAUCUCUCAUAUACGCACUCGCUUUAUUGUGGAUGUGUAUGUGGAUAUGAGUCUUCCCAGGCGAAGGUAACUUCUGGAACUGGGUGACUUAAAAUAAAUGGUUUGGCUGGGACUCUCUAAGAUCCAAUGGCCGAAAAGCGCGACAAGGACUGAAGGGCUCCGGCCUGAUAAGUUUAAUCCGCUGAACUCGGUGUUUUUGGAAUUUAUUCUUGGGAGCUAAAUCCA